RNAcentral lists this ribosomal RNA (293 nucleotides) under uncultured bacterium. RNAcentral describes it as "partial 16S ribosomal RNA". It matches the Rfam family "Archaeal small subunit ribosomal RNA", at positions 455 to 747 of the family's 1478-position model. The record is from RNAcentral.
GUGCCAGCCGCCGCGGUAAUACCGGCAGCCCAAGUGAUGGCCGAUCUUAUUGGGCCUAAAGCGUCCGUAGCUGGCCGCACAAGUCCAUCGGGAAAUCCACCUGCCCAACAGGUGGACGCCCGGUGGAAACUGUGUGGCUUGGGACCGGAAGGCGCGACGGGUACGUCCGGGGUAGGAGUGAAAUCCCGUAAUCCUGGACGGACCGCCGAUGGCGAAAGCACGUCGCGAAAACGGAUCCGACAGUGAGGGACGAAAGCCAGGGUCUCGAACCGGAUUAGAUACCCGGGUAGUCC